This 478-nucleotide ribosomal RNA is filed under the name uncultured bacterium. RNAcentral's name for it is "partial 16S ribosomal RNA". It matches the Rfam family "Bacterial small subunit ribosomal RNA", at positions 28 to 507 of the family's 1533-position model. The record is from RNAcentral.
GAUGAACGCUGGCGGCGUGCUUAACACAUGCAAGUCGAACGGGAAUUACUUUAUUGAAUCUUCGGUCGAUUUAAUUUAAUUCUAGUGGCGGACGGGUGAGUAACGCGUGGGUAACCUGCCUUAUACAGGGGGAUAACAGUCAGAAAUGGCUGCUAAUACCGCAUAAGCGCACAGAGCUGCAUGUCUCGGUGUGAAAAACUCCGGUGGUAUAGGAUGGACCCGCGUUGGAUUAGCUUGUUGGUGGGGUAACGGCCCACCAAGGCGUCGAUCCAUAGCCGGCCUGAGAGGGUGAACGGCCACAUUGGGACUGAGACACGGCCCAGACUCCUACGGGAGGCAGCAGUGGGGAAUAUUGCACAAUGGGGGAAACCCUGAUGCAGCGACGCCGCGUGAAGGAAGAAGUAUCUCGGUAUGUAAACUUCUAUCAGCAGGGAAGAUAGUGACGGUACCUGACGAAGAAGCCCCGGCUAACUACGUG